RNAcentral lists this non-coding RNA (98 nucleotides) under human gut metagenome. RNAcentral's name for it is "THF riboswitch". It matches the Rfam family "THF (Tetrahydrofolate) riboswitch aptamer". Rfam says of the family: THF riboswitch presents a pseudoknot that joins P1-P2 and the loop of P3 and two THF binding. The record is from RNAcentral.
GCAGAGUAGAUGUUUGCGCGUCAAGUGUUCAGCGGACGGGGAGUUGCCGCUUUAACGAAAAGCCACUGGCUUGCGGUGCAAAUGUCGCAUCCCGCUGC